Molecule: long non-coding RNA, 209 nt
Organism: Anguilla anguilla (European eel)
Lineage: Eukaryota; Metazoa; Chordata; Actinopteri; Anguilliformes; Anguillidae
Exons: 3
Source: RefSeq, a predicted model, not a curated record
AGCUCAAUCACCCAGGACCACAAAAUAUGUGGAAAAGCCUUUUGCCAAAUCCACUUGACAAAGGAGUCAAAGGACCCUAAGGGUUUCCUUGAAGCUCUCUGACUCAAACCACGGCCUGGUCACCACCGCCACGGCUCAGAUUUAAUGCCUGAGCCCCCCAGACUUUUAGAUCAUUGGGUAAUGAAUUGCAGCUAAGGACAACUAUUGAA